This is a long non-coding RNA of Globicephala melas (long-finned pilot whale), 1374 nucleotides long. RefSeq lists it as uncharacterized. The record is from RefSeq and is a predicted model, not a curated record. Lineage: Eukaryota; Metazoa; Chordata; Mammalia; Artiodactyla; Delphinidae.
AAAUGAAGAGGUUCAUGCGCGGAGCGAGCUCCGGCUCUGGGUCCUUGGCUGACCUGCCAGCUCCAGUGCCCUCCAUGGCUCCCAGCUACUCUGAGGAUCACAUCCACGCUCAUUAGGUGGGAUCUGGGGCGCUGCUCCACAUGCUGCCUUCUUACUCCUGGUCAUCCUCGAAGGGCAAGAAGAGCCACUUCUUGGGCAUGUCCCUGAGGAACAGGUCCUGCUGCUCCUCUGUCGAGUCCUGGGACACGUACACCAGAGCCAGCUGGGCUGCCCGCAACACGUAGAACUCAUCCGUGAGCCGCACAAAGAAGUCCCUGAGGAUGGGUGCAAAGGCCUGGCACUUCGGGCACGAGCCGGCACCAAAGAACAGCAGCACCAGUCGGUUUUCCAGCCGGCGGCUAAGCUCAGCCUCCGUGUCCAACUCAUCCUGGUCACUGUUGUUUCGGAUCAGGACACGGCCAGAGAACAGGCAGGCCAUGACAACCCUGGCUGGGUGCUGGGGACAGGGCGCAAGAACCUUGUGUGACCCCGAGCCUGCUGACUGGCUGCUGUCCCAGGAUUAGGAAUUUUUAGGAGGCCAGUUUAGAACCUCACUAAUCUGCCUAAACUCGACCUGAUUCUUUGCUGCCUCUGAGGGCAGGGGGUCAGCUGCUCAUGGGCCUGUCUCAGCAGACAGCUGCUAAGGCAUUAAAAAAACAGGCUGACAUACUGGUGUGAAAAUAUUUUGUUAAAUUGUGAUGUAAAAAGAUACGUGCCUCUUCAUGAAUGCAUUCGGUAAUCCUAAACCACAGGGCUCGACUAAUUAAUAACAGUGAUUUCUAAGUCGAGAUGAGCAUAAAUGAUAUUUCAAGGUGUCUGCCUGCCAUGACCAGGAUGUCCUGUGAAAUUAUCUUUGAUUUACACGGGUGACAAAGUCACAGAGCUGGCCAAUAUCUGCUUUGAUAGGACAUGAGAAAACAGGCUAAAUUCCAGUUAGAAAUUAAUAAGAAUAAACUCUUUUUUCUUCCCUUCGCCCUCCUGAAUUCUGUCUGAACAGCCCACCUUAAGAUUCCAUGGUGAGUAAGGGUGAAAAUCAUGGUCACAGUAUUUUGCGGCCCUCUCCCACCAAGCGCUGGGAACUAGUUCUCCUCUCCUUGAAGCCAGUUGGCUCCUAACUUGCUUUGACCGAUAGAAUGUGGUGGAAGGUGUGAGUUCGCACGAUAAGCCUUAUUCUCACCUCCCACUUUCACUCUUUUGGAAUGUGGCCUCCAGACGCCCCAUGUAAGGAAGCUGAUCUAGCCCAGAGGUUGGCAAACUUUUUAUAUAAAGGGCCAGGGAGUAAAUAUUUUUGACAUUUUAGGCCAUAGAGUCUCUGCUACAACUUUGAAUUCUCUU